GUGCAGAUGGACAUUAAUGCCAUCACUGGAGAGGAAGAAAGAGGAGGGAGAGAAGACAAGCAAGGAAGACAUCUAUUGAGGGGGAAAAUGACAUAAAUCAUCACAAAUGGAAAUCAGUUAAUGGACGAGAGAAGCUGAUCUGGAUACCAAGGGAUACUAUUGUAUGUAAAGUGAAAUCUUAGGCUCAUGAAAAUUAAAUUUUAUGUUUUUGUUUUA
This is a long non-coding RNA of Lutra lutra (Eurasian river otter), 216 nucleotides long. RefSeq lists it as uncharacterized. The record is from RefSeq and is a predicted model, not a curated record. NCBI's taxonomy places the organism in Eukaryota, Metazoa, Chordata, Mammalia, Carnivora, Mustelidae. The transcript has 2 exons.